CUUAGUAAACACCAGCCCUGCACCUGGGAACCCCACAGGUACCAUCACACUGCCUUAGUUAACACCAGCCCUGCACCUGGGAACCCCACAGGUACCAUCACACUGCCUUAGUAAACACCAGCCCUGCACCUGGGAACCCCACAGGUACCAUCACACUGCCUUAGUUAACACCAGCCCUGGGAACCCCACAGGUACCAUCACAGUGCCUUAGUAAACACCAGCCCUGGGAACCCCACAGAUACCAUCACACUGCCUUAGUUAACACCAGCCCUGCACCUGGGAACCCCACAGGUACCAUCACACUGCCUUAGUAAACACCAGCCCUGCACCUGGGAACCCCACAGGUACCAUCACACUGCCUUAGUUAACACCAGCCCUGGGAACCCCACAGGUACCAUCACAGUGCCUUAGUAAACACCAGCCCUGGGAACCCCACAGAUACCAU
Oncorhynchus tshawytscha (Chinook salmon) is the source of this 445-nucleotide long non-coding RNA. RefSeq lists it as uncharacterized. The record is from RefSeq and is a predicted model, not a curated record. NCBI's taxonomy places the organism in Eukaryota, Metazoa, Chordata, Actinopteri, Salmoniformes, Salmonidae. The transcript has 2 exons.